This 452-nucleotide ribosomal RNA is filed under the name uncultured marine bacterium. Its description in RNAcentral is "bacterial SSU rRNA". It matches the Rfam family "Bacterial small subunit ribosomal RNA", at positions 360 to 804 of the family's 1533-position model. The record is from RNAcentral.
AAUUUUGCACAAUGGGGGAAAACCUGAUGCAGCCAUGCCGGGGGUAUGAAGAAGGCCUUCGAGUUGUAAAGUACUUUCAGUUGUGAGGAAGGGGGUAACGUUAAUAGUGUUAUCUCUUGACGUUAGCAACAGAAGAAGCCCCGGCUAACUCCGUGCCAGCAGCCGCGGUAAUCAGGAGGGUGCGAGGGUUAAUUGGAAUUAAUGGGCGUAAAGCGCAUGCAGGUGGUUCAUUAAGUCAGAUGUGAAAGCCCGGGGGUCAACCUCGGAAUAGCAUUUGAAACUGGUGAAUUAGAGAUCUGUAGAGGGGGGUAGAAUUUCAGGUGUAGCGGUGAAAAUCGUAGAGAUUUGAAGGAAUACCAGUGGGGAAGGCGGCCCCCUGGACAGACACUGACACUCAGAUGCGAAAGCGUGGGGAGCAAACAGGAUUAGAUACCCUGGUAGUCCACGCCGUA